AGAGUUUGAUCCUGGCUCAGGAUGANCGCNNNNUACAGGCUUGACACAUGCAAGUCGAGGGGCAUCACGUGAGGCAGCAAUGCAUCUGGGUGGCGACCGGCGAAUGGGUGAGUAACGAGUAUCCAACCUGGCCCAUACUCGGGCACAGCCCCGCGAAAGCGGGAUUAAUGCCCGAUGCGGCGUAUCUCCCGCAUGGGAAUUACGUCAAAGGUAUAAACUGGUAUGGGAUGGGGAUGCGUCCGAUUAGCUAGACGGCGGGGUAACGGCCCACCGUGGCGAUGAUCGGUAGGGGUUCUGAGAGGAAGGUCCCCCACAUUGGAACUGAGACACGGUCCAAACUCCUACGGGAGGCAGCAGUGAGGAAUAUUGGUCAAUGGCCGUAAGGCUGAACCAGCCAAGUAGCGUGAGGGAUGACCGCCCUAUGGGUCGUAAACCUCUUUUGCACGGGAAUAACCGCACCCACGCGUGGGUGCCUGCAUGUACCGUGCGAAUAAGCAUCGGCUAACUCCGUGCCAGCAGCCGCGGUAAUACGGAGGAUGCGAGCGUUAUCCGGAUUUAUUGGGUUUAAAGGGAGCGCAGGCGGCCGUUUAGGCCAGCCGUGAAAUUUCCGCGCUUAACGCGGUCCUUGCGGUUGGAACCGGAUGGCUUGAGUGGGGUACAGGAAGGCGGAAUUCGUGGUGUAGCGGUGAAAUGCUUAGAUAUCACGAAGAACUCCGAUUGCGAAGGCAGCUUUCCGGACCUUUACUGACGCUCAUGCUCGAAAGCGCGGGAAUCAAACAGGAUUAGAUACNCUGGUAGUCCGCGCCGUAAACGAUGGACACUCGCUGUCGGCGACAGACGGUCGGCGGCCAAGCGAAAGCGUUAAGUGUCCCACCUGGGGGAGUACGCCGGCAACGGUGAAACUCAAAGGAAUUGACGGGGGCCCGCACAAGCGGAGGAACAUGUGGUUUAAUUCGAUGAUACGCGAGGAACCUUACCCGGGCUUGAAUUGCAUAUGAGUCGCGGAGAGAUCCGUGAGCCGCAAGGCAUAUGUGAAGGUGCUGCAUGGUUGUCGUCAGCUCGUGCCGUGAGGUGUCGGCUUAAGUGCCAUAACGAGCGCAACCCCUGUCCCCAGUUGCCAUCGGGUAAUGCCGGGCACUCUGCGGAGACUGCCGUCGUAAGAUGUGAGGAAGGCGGGGAUGACGUCAAAUCAGCACGGCCCUUACGUCCGGGGCUACACACGUGUUACAAUGGGGGGCACAGAAGGCGGCGACCGGGCAACCGGGAGCGAAUCCCAAAAUCCCCUCCCAGUUCGGAUUGGGGUCUGCAACCCGACCCCAUGAAGCUGGAUUCGCUAGUAAUCGCGCAUCAGCCAUGGCGCGGUGAAUACGUUCCCGGGCCUUGUACACACCGCCCGUCAAGCCAUGAAAGCCGGGAGUGCCUGAAGUGCGUGCCCGCGAGGAGCGCCCUAGGGUAAGACCGGUGAUUGGGGCUAAGUCGUAACAAGGUAGCCG
Molecule: ribosomal RNA, 1493 nt
Filed under: uncultured bacterium
Lineage: Bacteria
Description: bacterial SSU rRNA
Rfam family: Bacterial small subunit ribosomal RNA
Source: RNAcentral